This 1253-nucleotide long non-coding RNA is filed under the name Bemisia tabaci. RNAcentral's name for it is "lncRNA ENSSWEETPG009087". Lineage: Eukaryota; Metazoa; Arthropoda; Insecta; Hemiptera; Aleyrodidae. The record is from RNAcentral.
AAAAAUAACAAAAAUUUAUCAAAAAUUACGAGUUAGGAAACCCUCUUUGUUCUUUCUGAAGUAAACUUUGUGAAAUUUUCAUUGAAAAAAAGAAACAAAAAAGAAACCAAAAAAACCAAGCAGGUAAGCUCUGAUACAUUUGCAUUAAAGAAUCACUCAGCUGUUUUCAUGUUUUUAAGUUCCACAAAGAGGAUUAGCACCGUUGAGAUAAAAAAACUCGCUCACCAAAAUUUCAACCAUCAAUUUUGAGAAAACUACAAUAUUGCUAAAAGCAUAAAUUAUAGAAAAACGAUUAUCGUCAUCUGUGCUUUGACAUCAGAAGCAUUAAAUGAAGGUAUCACAGAUUAAUCUAUUCUAAAUGUUUUAGGCCCCUUUACUAUCUUUUUGUUGAGUUGGUGCGCCAUUUGAACAUAUUGUCACUAGUAUAUUAGAAUUGAAGAGACAAGUUGAAAUCAAAAAGCGCAUCCUACCGGCUGAGAUCUUUAAAAAAUGAAAAAAAAAUGGGCAUGAAAAUUUUGUUACAUUCUAUAAAUCAUUCAUAUUCAUGCCAGAUACAAACUAAAAUGGAAGAUAUGCAACUCAAAAAACCAAAAUUAUCUGUAUUUUUUAUGAAUUUCCAAAAAAUAAGGUGACAACAAAUUUGUUAAAAUUCCACCAGGUAUUUUUACAUAAAAUAUACCAAAAAGGAUUUCCAAACGCGGAUAUGUAAACAGCUUUUUCAGGAGUGUUCUCUUUAAAACGAAUUUUAAUCUUUCUUAACGACCAAUGCUACUAGAGUAAUAACAAACAAGAAAAAAACUACUGUGAAACGUAGUUGGAACUGUAUGUGACAAGGUGGUAAAAUAGUGCCGGGUCCACACUAUUUUGCAGGGAAAACAAGACCAAAAAGUUCAACAAUUUUUGAGCUUUUUGGCCUUGUUUUCCUCGCAGAAAAGUGUAGACCCAGCACUAUUUUACCACCUUUGAUAAUAGCAAAUUAAUGUCUUUUGGAUUUCGUUUGUUUCAGCUCCACGACGAGGUGCUCUCCCACCACCACCUCAAACAGAGGAUCCAAGUUUUGGUCCCCUCAGCUUACCAGCCACCGUGAAUUCAAGUAUUCCAAAAAAAGAUCCACCUCCUCCCCCACCGCCUCGUCCAGGACCCACACUAGAAGUUCAUCUCUUGAUCUCAUAGACUGGCAAAAUAUGGAAAUAAUGGACCUCCAAUCGUGCCCCCAAGAGUUUCGCCAAGUGUGGUUUCACCAAAGAAAUUAG